This is a long non-coding RNA of Mesocricetus auratus (golden hamster), 998 nucleotides long. RefSeq lists it as uncharacterized. NCBI's taxonomy places the organism in Eukaryota, Metazoa, Chordata, Mammalia, Rodentia, Cricetidae. The record is from RefSeq and is a predicted model, not a curated record. The transcript has 5 exons.
GAAACCAGGGUAGCAUCUCUGCUUCCCCACGUAGCCUCGCAGGAUGCUGAGCGCCCCGAGGCUGCUUGGCUGGCGCCUGGCCUGAGAUGUAGCCUGCUGGCUCAGGGGUUGCGGCGCAUGCGCACAGUCCGCAGAGCCAUUGCUCACCCUUCCUGCGGCACGCCCAUCCCGCACUGAAAGGUGAGAAAUGGCAUUGUGCAAGCCAGCGAGAGGCUGAGUGUCCUGCAGCACUGAGGAGACAAUGGCCCAGAAGAACCGACUGUGAAGGACACACUUGUUCUCAUGGUUAUGCAAAGUGAUAGCUUCAUGGACCAGUGGGCCUCAGCAGGCUGGGACGAUUCAGGCAGGGACCCUGGGACAGCGUCCUCUGCCCAUGAGGCUCGGUGGCGUCUCUUCCAAGCCCAGCUCUACCGCUUUGAGUCUGAACUGCCCUGCUUAAUGUGUCCACGCCCGUAACUUACUCCUCCUUCAUUUGCUGGCUCCAAGCUCCUCCAGACCUCAUUUGAAUCACGGUUCCCUCCUUCCUUGUCCAGUGUUAAAGGGAAGCUCUGACAUCCUGCAAGGAAGGGUCUGUAGAAACCCUAAAUUUAGCUCUGAGACUGACUCAUCUAUAGCAUAGCGUACAGUGGAAAUCACGACAUAUGUUUUGGGCAACUUCCUUAUCUAUGUCUGGCCUUCCCAGCCACUGUCUGCCCGGUGCUGUCUUCCCUUCCUCCAUCUUCAACACUGAAGGCUCUCGAUUUUGAGCACCUGUUGCUCAGGCGGUCUCUCUGCUGGCUCUGAGCUUAGCUGGUGAACGUCAGGCUGGUGAAUGUCAGCGGUUACAGCCAGUCCUAUGGUGGUCUACCUCUCUGCUUCCUGCCUGCUGUUGUGAUGUAACAAGCCGUCCUGGGAGCUCCCCUAAGGACCAGUGGCAGACCCUCUCCAUCCAAGGCACCUUCCUGCUAUGGUGGACGGUCGUCUUGAUACCAUGAGCCAAAAUAAAUCCUUUCCCCUUA